This 843-nucleotide ribosomal RNA is filed under the name uncultured bacterium. RNAcentral describes it as "bacterial SSU rRNA". It matches the Rfam family "Bacterial small subunit ribosomal RNA", at positions 1 to 846 of the family's 1533-position model. The record is from RNAcentral.
UUAGAGUUUGAUCCUGGCUCAGGAUGAACGCUAGCGGCAGGCUUAAUACAUGCAAGUCGAGGGGCAACAGGGGUAGCAAUACCUGCUGGCGACCGGCAAACGGGUGCGGAACACGUACAGAACCUUCCUUUAAGCGGGGAAUAGCCCGGAGAAAUCCGGAUUAAUACCCCAUAGUAAUAUUUGGUGGCAUCACUUGAAUAUUUAAAGAUUUAUCACUUAAAGAUGGCUGUGCGUCUGAUUAGGUAGUUGGUGCGGGUAACGGCCCACCAAACCAUCGAUCAGUAACUGGUGUGAGAGCACGACCAGUCACACGGGCACUGAGACACGGGCCCGACUCCUACGGGAGGCAGCAGUAAGGAAUAUUGGUCAAUGGACGCAAGUCUGAACCAGCCAUGCCGCGUGAAGGAUGAAGGCCCUCUGGGUUGUAAACUUCUUUUAUCUGGGAAGAAACCACUUUUUUAUAAAGGUGUUGACGGUACCAGAGGAAUAAGCACCGGCUAACUCCGUGCAGCAGCCGCGGUAAUACGGAGGGUGCAAGCGUUAUCCGGAUUCACUGGGUUUAAAGGGUGCGUAGGUGGGAAUGUAAGUCAGUGGUGAAAUCUCCGUGCUUAACAUGGAAACUGCCAUUGAUACUAUAUUUCUUGAAUCUUCCGGAGGUCAGCGGAAUAUGUCAUGUAGCGGUGAAAUGCUUAGAUAUGACAUAGAACACCAAUUGCGAAGGCAGCUGACUACAGGAGCACUGACACUGAGGCACGAAAGCGUGGGGAUCAAACAGGAUUAGAUACCCUGGUAGUCCACGCCCUAAACUAUGGAUACUCGACAUUUGUGAUACACAAUAAGUGU